RNAcentral lists this ribosomal RNA (492 nucleotides) under uncultured bacterium. RNAcentral describes it as "partial 16S ribosomal RNA". It matches the Rfam family "Bacterial small subunit ribosomal RNA", at positions 28 to 507 of the family's 1533-position model. The record is from RNAcentral.
GAUGAACGCUAGCUACAGGCUUAACACAUGCAAGUCGAGGGGAAACGGCAUCGAAAGCUUGCUUUUGAUGGGCGUCGACCGGCGCACGGGUGAGUAACGCGUAUCCAACCUGCCCAUCACUUGGGAAUAACCUUGCGAAAGUAAGACUAAUGCCCAAUGACAUCCCACGAAGGCAUCCGAAUGGGAUUAAAGAUUUAUCGGUGAUGGAUGGGGAUGCGUCUGAUUAGCUUGUUGGCGGGGUGACGGCCCACCAAGGCAACGAUCAGUAGGGGUUCUGAGAGGAAGGUACCCCACAUUGGAACUGAGACACGGUCCAAACUCCUACGGGAGGCAGCAGUGAGGAAUAUUGGUCAAUGGGCGAGAGCCUGAACCAGCCAAGUAGCGUGCAGGAUGACGGCCCUAUGGGUUGUAAACUGCUUUUAUAAGGGAAUAAAGUGGGUCACGUGUGACUUUUUGCAUGUACCUUAUGAAUAAGGACCGGCUAAUUCCGUG